Long non-coding RNA from Phyllopteryx taeniolatus (common seadragon), 1242 nucleotides. RefSeq lists it as uncharacterized. The record is from RefSeq and is a predicted model, not a curated record. NCBI's taxonomy places the organism in Eukaryota, Metazoa, Chordata, Actinopteri, Syngnathiformes, Syngnathidae. The transcript is spliced from 2 exons.
AACACUGCGAAAUUGUAUAUUGCUUGUUGCCAUUACUUUGCCAGUUUUGUUCCACUCUCCCGCAUUACUACUCUCAUUCUGUCCUGCCAGUAUCUGUUAUUGUCAGCUGUUUGCUAGUAAGUACUACUGUGUCCUGCGAUUAACUGGCGAACAAUUCAGGGUGUACCCCUGCCUCUCACCCAAAGUCAGCUGGGAUGAGCUCCAGCAUGCCUGUGAUCCUAGUGAAGAUAAAAUGGAUGGAUGAAUACUACGGUGUUUUUCUGUUCUUGUUCCUCUGCCUUGGUUACAGAUUCCCACGCACCCACCGUCUGUUAUUCCCGUGAACACCUGUGAGCCAAAUAUCUCCAUCCACUGUGUUAUUUUGGAUAACUUGGCUCAUGCAGACAAUUCCUCCUGCAAUGCUCAUUGGUGCUUCAGCGGUCCCGGGCUGGCAGUCAACAACGGGGGAGGAGGCUAUGUAACUGGGAGGUCGAGGACUCAACAUCCAGGAAUGCAACGGACGUAUGAGAGGCCGGCGAUGUUUGUACUGUGGGCUACCAGGACACCAGGUUUCAUCAUGCCCAGGGAAACCACAUCUGACUGACAAUGCCAAGUCAGCCAUCCUCCACGAAGCUUCAGGACCAAACGAAUAACUGGGUCACAUAACUGAGACUGAUUCAACCCCUUCUAAGACAGUUAGCUGAGCAACUAGUGGAAGUCUUCAACUUCCUGGUAUGAUUUCGCUUAAAGGUUACAGCACUGGUGGAUUCUGUGGCUGCCGAUUUGUUUUGUAGGCUUUUCUGUUGUUGAAACAAAUGUUUGGUAGUUAAAUUGGGGUAGGCUAAGGAGGUACGGGAUCUUAAUGGGGAGCUUGUCACUAUUGUCACGCAUUAGACAGUCCCUGGGGGUUGGUUUUGUCAGGUCACCAUCAUUAGGCCAGACAUUUUUAUUUUUUUUUUAUUUUUUUUAAUGCCAACCCAAUUGACACUUGUUGUUUUGGGCCUUACAUGGCUUAAAGAGAUUUUUACCGAUUAAAAAGGACAAAACUCUGCUUUCAAUCCAUUGCAUUCUGCUAUCAUGUUCAUUAAGCUUGAGUUGCGUAAUGCUUAUGAUUUAGUGAGAAUCAGAAAGGGUGAUGAGUGGAAGAUGGCCUUAAAUAAUCCCAUGGGUCAAUUUGAAUAUUUGGUGAUGCCGUUCGGUCUUCGAAUGCCCCUGCCUUCCAAAAGCUGAUCAAUGAUAUACUGCGUGAUAUGAUUGGUCGCU